Molecule: ribosomal RNA, 506 nt
Filed under: uncultured bacterium
Lineage: Bacteria
Description: partial 16S ribosomal RNA
Rfam family: Bacterial small subunit ribosomal RNA
Source: RNAcentral
AGUGAACGCUGGCGGUAGGCCUAACACAUGCAAGUCAAACGGCAGCACAGGAGAGCUUGCUCUCUGGGUGGCGAGUGGCGGACGGGUGAGGAAUACAUCGGAAUCUACUCUGUCGUGGGGGAUAACGUAGGGAAACUUACGCUAAUACCGCAUACGACCUACGGGUGAAAGCAGGGGAUCUUCGGACCUUGCGCGAUUGAAUGAGCCGAUGUCUGAUUAGCUAGUUGGCGGGGUAAAGGCCCACCAAGGCGACGAUCCGUAGCUGGUCUGAGAGGAUGAUCAGCCACACUGGAACUGAGACACGGUCCAGACUCCUACGGGAGGCAGCAGUGGGGAAUAUUGGACAAAGGGCGCAAGCCUGAUCCAGCCAUACCGCGUGGGUGAAGAAGGCCUUCGGGUUGUAAAGCCCUUUUGUUGGGAAAGAAAUCCAGCUGGCUAAUACCCGGUUGGGAUGACGGUACCCAAAGAAUAAGCACCGGCUAACUUCGUGCCAGCCGCCGCCGUAA